Ictalurus punctatus (channel catfish) is the source of this 470-nucleotide long non-coding RNA. NCBI's taxonomy places the organism in Eukaryota, Metazoa, Chordata, Actinopteri, Siluriformes, Ictaluridae. The record is from Ensembl.
UAUAUAUAUAUAUUUCAGUCAGUCAUCAUUGCAAUCGAUAAAACGAGGGUCGUAAGGAUUUUAACAUCCCAACAUUACGAGCAGGAUCUUUACCACUGAGCCAUGGGAAGUAGUUUAGAAAAUGUAAAUACAUCAAAUUCAUUCACAUUAUCACAUUUGGCAGACACUUGGCAGGUAAGCAAGAAUGGUAGUAAAAAAAAAAAAAAAAGUAAGUAAGAGAGAAAGAAAGUAUGUAAGGUAAGUAAGUAGGCAAGUUAAAAAGUAAGUACGUAAGUAAGUAAGUAAGGGAAGUACGUUAGAAAGAAGUAUGUAAGUAAGGUAAUUAAGUUAGAAAGAAAGAAAGUAAGUAAGGUAAGUAAGUUAGAAAGAAAGAAAGUAAGUAAGGUAAGUAAGUUAGAAAGAAAGAAAGAAAGUAAGGUAAGUAAGUUAGAAAGAAAGUAAGUAAGUAAGUAAGUAAGGUAAGUAAGUAG